UUUUUCCGUGACAUUGAUAAAGC
This 23-nucleotide non-coding RNA is filed under the name Cricetulus griseus (Chinese hamster). The record is from RNAcentral. Lineage: Eukaryota; Metazoa; Chordata; Mammalia; Rodentia; Cricetidae.